UCACCGCGAGAAUACAAUGAUGCACCAGAGAGGCAUGACCGACUAAUAUUCAACUCGACACGCAGAAAAAUAACAUGCAUGCUUUGACGGACUGAAAGGCUCAAAGAUGUGAGAGUGUAUCCAUCUGUGGACACACCCAGUGAGACAGCAGGCACGAGUCAGCAGGGCCCGAAGAGAACCAUACGCUCCGAGAGCCACUGACGCAAACCCAUAGAGCUUAACUACAAUCACAGGGUGACAGCAGCCAGCUCAGCACAAUACACCUCAACAGUAAAAAAAAAAAGAAAAAAAAAAAAGGGGACAGUGGAGAGGGGAGGAGCAAAAAACAAGAGACCGAGGCAGAGAGAGCGAGAGAGACCCAGACUACAACCUGGCAGAAAAGCACAUGGGCAAUAUGCAAAUGCGCAAUUGGAACCAGUCCACACAUAGGCCUCAUUAUCACCUUUUGAUGACAAAAUUCACGUCAUGCCGAGCUUGGCGGACCCCCGAGGAUGCUGAAAGUAUAACAACAGCACUGGGCAACAUGACCAAU
Molecule: long non-coding RNA, 532 nt
Organism: Scophthalmus maximus (turbot)
Lineage: Eukaryota; Metazoa; Chordata; Actinopteri; Pleuronectiformes; Scophthalmidae
Exons: 3
Source: RefSeq, a predicted model, not a curated record